RNAcentral lists this ribosomal RNA (447 nucleotides) under uncultured bacterium. Its description in RNAcentral is "bacterial SSU rRNA". It matches the Rfam family "Bacterial small subunit ribosomal RNA", at positions 958 to 1398 of the family's 1533-position model. The record is from RNAcentral.
AACGCGAAGAACCUUACCUGGGCUUGACAUGCUUGGAUUAUCUCCAUGAAAGUGGAGUAGGCCCUUCGGGGUACAACAAGUACAGGUGCUGCAUGGCUGUCGUCAGCUCGUGUCGUGAGAUGUCGGGUUAAGUCCCUUAACGAGCGAAACCUUUGCCCUUAGUUACCAGCGGGUUAUGCCGGGGACUCUAAGGGGACUGCCGGUGUCAAACCGGAGGAAGGUGGAGAUGACGUCAAGUCCUCAUGGCCUUUAUGCCCAGGGCCACACACGUGCUACAAUGGGGUGCACAAAACGAACCGAGAGCGCAAGCUGGAGGAAAUCGCUUAAAUCACCCCCCAGUUCAGAUUGGAGGCUGCAACUCGCCUCCAUGAAGUUGGAAUCGCUAGUAAUCGCGGGUCAGCUACACCGCGGUGAAUGUGUUCCCGGGCCUUGUACACACCGCGCAUA